Molecule: non-coding RNA, 1915 nt
Organism: Paralichthys olivaceus (Japanese flounder)
Lineage: Eukaryota; Metazoa; Chordata; Actinopteri; Pleuronectiformes; Paralichthyidae
Source: RefSeq, a predicted model, not a curated record
CCUCCUGCUGCAUUUUGGAUGAGCUCCAGCACAUGAUGAUUACUGAUGGAGUCCUACAACAUGAAGAACUUAAAGCAGGGGCGCUGGCAUCUGUAGACUAGUGAUCAGGACGUCAAGUCAUCGUAUUGAGGUCCUGACCAUAGACCUGCUGAAAUGGUCAACCGGCCAACAGGGAAAACUCCUACUCUCCCAGAUGGCCAGACCUGCUGCUGGGGUAAUUGCGUUGGCGAGUCAUGACUUAUCAUCUUUCUAAUUCAUCAAUUAAGAAAUGUAAUCCAGAAUAAUUGGUAAGGCAUAUGUAUAAGGUGUGUAUUAAAUUUAUGAAAACUGCUGUCCUGAGAAAUACUGUGCAUGAGUGACAGCCAGUGAUAAAUUGAGCACAUUGUAACUGCUUUAAAGAAACAAAUUAACUGCUUUAAAAAAGUAAUUAAAACAUUAAAUGUAGGUCACUUUAGUUUGCUACUUUAACUACAAUGCAAUGGCAAAACUAUCAGGAUUUAAUUGUGACAAAGACAUGAACCUUGGUUAAGACCUUGGUUUUGGACUUUCAAGUGUGAAAAAGCCCUGAAAGAAAACUGAGCAAAAGAAAAUAUUUUCCAAUUACAAAGUAAUACAGCUUAGUAUAAUGCCCAAUAUCAUUGCUGUGCUGAAAGAUGUGAACAAAGUGUUCUACAGUUUAAUUGGUUUCAUAAACUGGUCACUGGAAAUGCAAAGGUUCCCAUCUUUUAAAAAUCAAGGCUAAGACUCUUAACUUAAUUGCUGUGACAGGACAGUUUUCUGUCUGGAAGUAAAUCUCGCUGAGCUCGUAUUAAGUCACCAAAACCCUCAAGUCAGAGGGCUCAGCUGAGAGAAAAUAAAUCAAUGCUCAUGCAUUCAAUGUGUUUUUUAAAUUUGUUUAUGUUAUGAUUACGGUUAAGAUCCCAUUUCCCAUCAGUUGUGACUCUUUAGACAUCUGUUAAAAAUCCAUAGGUGAUUUAUCACAUUUAAAUACAAGGCUGACAAACUGACUAAAUCUCGUGCAGAACACUAGAGUGUAAAAUUUAUAAGAGAGAGUAGUCCUUUGCCCUUUUUCAUGCAUGGACGUGUGUGUGUGUGUGUGUGUGAGAAUGAACUUGAAGUUCCUUUUGCCACAGUGAGAGCUGCAGGUCCGGUUGCUCAGAUCAAAGCAUGUGGCAGAGAUGAUGUUGAUUUACUGCAGCCAAAUUUCUUAUCAGAGGAAAUGACUGUGUACCUGAGCUGCAGUAAUUUUACAGUUUCCUGAGAGUAAUUCAAAGAAAUGAAAUGUUUAAUAAUCACAGACCAUAACCUGUUAUGUUAGACAUUGCCAAAAUCAGAUCAUCUCUUCAUUAAUACCUUCUGUUGUAUUUUUCAUUCUAAGAAACUGUUUUAUUCACAGACUUAUAUUUAGAUUAUGUUUAUUUUCCCAUUGCAAAAUUCUCAUUGGCUUGUGUAAACCAUUUGCACUAUUUUUAUGCCUGGUCUCCAGAGACGGGAAACUUUCCAUGUCUAACUAAAUGUCACAAAAGCCUUAAAGAAUCUCACCUUCAUUUUUUCUGAACAAACUGUGGCCACACUUAAUUUGAAGACUGUACUUUGUACUUGGAUGCACAGACAAGAGCGGUCUGCACAUUGCUGUCAGAGCACUGUCUCUUUGCCUGAUGAUUUAUUAUCUCAGAGACAUAUAUUCUCAGCAGUGGAUGACCUACCUUUGCAAGCAUCACAAGCUUUAUGUCGCUAAUGUGAUUUCCCAAAGCUGUGCUUGCACUAUGUGAGACAUUUGCCCUGCAUUUGCAUAGCAGGUACUUCAUUUCCCAAUUCCCUCUUUUGGUGGUUAUAAGCUGUCAUUAUCUUAUUGAACAAGAAUCAGUACCAAGUCCAAUUUAAUGAUGUGGUAAUAACCUGUCAUAACCUGUAA